RNAcentral lists this ribosomal RNA (269 nucleotides) under uncultured bacterium. Its description in RNAcentral is "partial 16S ribosomal RNA". It matches the Rfam family "Bacterial small subunit ribosomal RNA", at positions 793 to 1055 of the family's 1533-position model. The record is from RNAcentral.
GUCCUAGCCGUAAACGGUGCUGGCUUGCUGUGAAAGGAAUCGACCCCUUUUGUGGCGCAGCUAACGCGAUAAGCCAGCCGCCUGGGAAGUACGGUCGCAAGAUUAAAACUCAAAGAAAUUGACGGGGGCCUGCACAAGCGGUGGAGUAUGUGGCUUAAUUCGAUGCAACGCGAAGAACCUUACCUGGCCUUGACAUGCACGUGGUAGAAGUCUGAAAAGGAUAAACGACCCCGCAAGGGGAGCGUGCACAGGUGCUGCAUGGCUGUCGU